This is a non-coding RNA of Aedes albopictus (Asian tiger mosquito), 58 nucleotides long. The record is from Rfam. Lineage: Eukaryota; Metazoa; Arthropoda; Insecta; Diptera; Culicidae.
UAGCCUAGUGCUUAAGGCUAUGGAUCGCCAAUCCGGAGACGGCGGGUUCGAUUCCCGU